This 513-nucleotide long non-coding RNA is filed under the name Gallus gallus (chicken). Its description in RNAcentral is "lncRNA (ENSGALG00010004741.1)". Lineage: Eukaryota; Metazoa; Chordata; Aves; Galliformes; Phasianidae. The record is from RNAcentral.
GGUAAGAAGAGGAGCCAGGAGAGCAGGGGAAGAGGGGAGUAGGCAGGUGGAGAAGGACGGUGAUCACCUGGAAGCACACCCACUCUUCUCAAGAAGUUCCUUCUGAACACCAGGAAGCACCGCUGUGCUGUGCAGAAGCCGUCUGGACAUGGCCCUGGGCAUCCUGUUGUGGGUGUCCCUGCUUGGGCAGAGGAGGAAAUCAGAGCCCUGAACCCAAAGUUAAUCACCAGAUUCACUGUGCUGUGCCGGCUGUGGGACGGCGCCUGGCAGUUCUUGCUGGAAGACCGAGUCUCCAACCUAGCAGGGCCUGUCCGUCCUGCAGAUUAUGGGUCACUCACUGUCACACCGGAUUCCUUCAGAUGAGGAAAAAGACCACCCUGAAAAUAUCAAUGGCUACUCCUGAGGCAAACAGAGAGAAAUAUGUAAACUGCCCAACCAGUGCGGAAGAACUGGUUUCCAGAGGGAAAAAGUAUUGCUCAGAAACUGAGAUGAUACUUUUAGAGGAAAAAAGAG